Molecule: long non-coding RNA, 1383 nt
Filed under: Sus scrofa (pig)
Lineage: Eukaryota; Metazoa; Chordata; Mammalia; Artiodactyla; Suidae
Description: lncRNA (ENSSSCG00065061905.1)
Source: RNAcentral
GGGGCUGCUUUCUGACGCUUUCAUCGUCUGACUCUUCAGACACAACGCCUUCUUGGGCCUGCUUCGUCUAAUAUGUUAUUGGUGUAAAUUGAGUCUUGGAAAGACCUAAUAUUUACCCUUGCCUUUUUUAGCAGAAGCACUGUGCCCAGCAGCCACUGUGAUUAUUUCAGAUGAUAUCAAAGAAGAAAAUGUGUUAUUUGAUCAAAACCACCCACAAAACGUGAAAAAAAAAAAAUUCCUUGGGAGUUCCUGCUGUGGUGCAGGGGAAACGAAUCCAACUAGUAUCCACGAGGAUAUCCUUAACCCACUGAUCNAACUUACUCUUUGACCCAAGUUUUCCUACAGAUAAAAGGCAGGCAGAGGACCUGGGAGGGGAGGGACCAUCGGAUUUUACUGGGACUCCCACCCCAGUUCUCCUUCGUACCCACCAUACGAGACAUCGCACCCUGUUUCUGCCAGGACAGAGAGUAGAGGAGGAUGGGUUACUGGAGACGCCAAUUAGAGGAGGUCGCCCGAGAGCAGAGUCUCUUUUCUCAUGAGGAUAAAGAUGUCCUUGUGAGUUAGACUCCUGUCUGUGAACCUUGGGGACAUUGAUGGCAGGGGAAGGGUUCUAAAGCCUUAGUCAGCUCCGAGGUGAAAUAGGCACCAUGCUGCAAAUGAAAGGCCCUUUAGAAAAAGGUAGAGCACACUGCUUUCAACUUGGGAAGCCCGAGUGCCCGGCAUAGUCCAGUGUGGUCCGGAGGCUUUGGUCUUUUGUCUUGGCCAACAGGUGGUAAAGCAGAGAGAGCUCGUUGCUGAGCGGGACUUGUUCCUGUUGGGAUAAUAUUCCUCGGACCACAGGUCUGCUCAUUUUCCAGGCUGUUUUUCUUUUGGAGAAACAGACUCAUACUUUGUAGUAACAAAUUGCAUAAUUCGGGUGGAGCCUGCCUGGCUUUCCCACCGAUUUUGCUCUUCCUCAGUGAAAGCCACUUGUUAGACAUUAUUCCUGGUCUUUAUGCACAGUUGAAAGCCUGACUUUGCCCAGUGGGGAAGGUGGGCUUCUCUGUAACUUCUGGGCUGGUGGAAGAAAACAGCUCCUUCCCUAGGGCUUGUAAGACCCAGAAAGCAGAGGAGAAAGUGUGUUUUUCUCUGCAGAAUUUCUGCCUUGGUUGGAGGCAAGGCCAAGCUGGGGGAAGGGAUACUUGACAUUAAUUUAUAGAGCACCUACUAUGUUCCAGGUCAUAUUCUGUGUGCUGGGGAGAGAGCCACCAACAAAAUGGGCAAAACCCUCUGUUCUGGGGGGGGAGGUGGUGUGUGUCAGAAAUAGGCAUUCACGGGUCACCUUGCUGUACAGUAGAAAAUUGACAGAACACUGUAAACCAGCUAUAAUAGAAAAAAUAAAAA